GGAAUAAAGUAGAUUUUCUCCUCUGGAACACACUGCAGUUUAAUUUCACUUCUUUCUACAAUGUGCGAUGAAGGUGGACUUAACUUUUAAAGGCAAAGAGACAAACCACUGCCAGGAUAAAUGAAAAGACGCAGAGGGGCCAGCUGGCACCACACAGGCAAUGAAAUGCUUUCUGGCUGUUUCCUAAUUUUCAUAUCCGGGUCAUCUUCAGAAAUCAUUUUCAGAGGGUUAGCAACCAUGACCAUCAUGGUGGAGAACAUGGCAACAGGCAGACAGGAAUCACACUGGAAUAGUAGCUGGAGACUAUGUUGAUGUCUGUUGUCUAAACAGCCACUGGAGGCCAUGCUGAAGUCCAUAGGUCCAUGGUUCAGUGCCCCCUGUGGAUGUCCUUUGUCUGUGUGGCUGCUGACUGAAAUGGACAAAACAACUUCUAUCACAUUAAUAUCAAUGACUGCAGACUCACAGUUGAGAAUGAGAGACUUUGAACGCUUCUGAAACAAUCUGUCACAUCCAUCCCAUCUAAAAGAACCAUUCAAGGUCUAAGCUAGCCGAGUGGCUGGGAACCAACAAGCAGCCUCCCACUACAG
Molecule: long non-coding RNA, 587 nt
Organism: Chionomys nivalis (European snow vole)
Lineage: Eukaryota; Metazoa; Chordata; Mammalia; Rodentia; Cricetidae
Exons: 4
Source: RefSeq, a predicted model, not a curated record